AUACGUAGGGGGCGAGCGUUGUCCGGAAUGAUUGGGCGUAAAGGGCGCGUAGGCGGCCCGGUAAGUCUGGAGUGAAAGUCCUGUUUUUAAGAUGGGAAUUGCUUUGGAUACUGUCGGGCUUGAGUGCAGGAGAGGUAAGUGGAAUUCCCAGUGUAGCGGUGAAAUGCGUAGAGAUUGGGAGGAACACCAGUGGCGAAGGCGACUUACUGGACUGUAACUGACGCUGAGGCUAGAAAGUGUGGGGAGCAAACAGGAUUAGAUACCCUGGUAGUCCACACUGUAAACGGUGAAUGCUAGGUGUAGGGGGUAUCGACCCCUUCUGUGCCGCAGUCAACACAAUAAGCAUUCCGCCUGGGGAGUACGGCCGCAAGGUUGAAACUCAAAUGAAUUGACGGGG
Molecule: ribosomal RNA, 397 nt
Filed under: uncultured bacterium
Lineage: Bacteria
Description: partial 16S ribosomal RNA
Rfam family: Bacterial small subunit ribosomal RNA
Source: RNAcentral